UUCUAAUUGAACAUUGACAGUCACAUGCUAUGUUUUGAUUGGACGUUGACAACAAUAAUACAUUUUCAUCAUCCAAUUAGAAUGUAACACAUGACAGUUAACAUUC
This is a non-coding RNA of Glycine max (soybean), 106 nucleotides long. NCBI's taxonomy places the organism in Eukaryota, Viridiplantae, Streptophyta, Magnoliopsida, Fabales, Fabaceae. The record is from Rfam.